RNAcentral lists this unclassified non-coding RNA (852 nucleotides) under Hevea brasiliensis (rubber tree). Lineage: Eukaryota; Viridiplantae; Streptophyta; Magnoliopsida; Malpighiales; Euphorbiaceae. The record is from RNAcentral.
GCUUGAACAGGCGGAGCAAUCUAUAAUUGAAGCUACCGGAACCGGAACUGUACCGGCGAUAGCAGUUUCUGUUAACGGUACUCUUAAGAUUCCGACGAGUUCCCCGGCGAGUAAUCCAGAAAUCGACGAGAACCAUCCACAGAAACGUAGAAGGAAAUCAUCAAACUCAGAGUUCAUUGAUGUCGGAAGUUUGAAUAGAAAUGCUGCAAAUGUUUCACAAUUUGCUCCGGUAACAACCACGCCGGCAACAAUAACCACCGCUCCACCGCCGGGAUUCGUACCGGUAUGGGGUAUGAGUAAUGGUGGUAUGAUGGUACCAUCCAAUGCCAUUUGGAUGAUACCAGCUACGGUCCCACCAGCUCAAGUAAACGUGACCAAUAACAAUAACGUCGUGCUCCAGUAUCCUCAAUUAUGGACACCUGUAUUUAAUUUGGCCACGAGGCCAAUACCAUCAUUCGUGACUGCAGCCACGAUUAAUACUAACGGUCCGCCAGCAAUAAUGAUUGCAGGACCGUUAUCAGUGAAUAAUGGAGCAGCCACAACCACGGGGCCUAAAAUUGGAUCGAACAAGUCUAGCAUGGCUCCAGCUAGUUUAAGCUCUAGCACAGAUAAAAAUAACAACAAUACAAAUGAUGUUAAACCUCAUAUGCUAAGAGAUUUUUCACUUGAGAUUUAUGAUAGAAAAGAGUUACAGCUUAUGAGUCGAAGUGGAAAUCAUCAACAAGAAACUCAAGUUACAUCUUCAGAACGUUCAUAGAUUCAAGUGAUCGUCAUAAUUUAUUGAGAAUCAAUAUAAAUAUAGAGGCAGAGUUUAGGCCAAAUAUGCUCAUGAUACUCUUGUAUGUACAAACU